GGAAAGCCCACCCCAAGGGAACAAUCAGGGAAGAAGGAACGCAAGACGGUGGAAGCAUGCCAACCUAUUAAACCGCAAGUCAGAGAUCAAACCAUAUCCUCAUUUGAAAAUGGAAAAAGAAAAGAAAUGGAGGCAUUGUGUGAUAUUUGCCUAAAUAUAACUAAAGAGAUCCAUUUAUUUUUAGUGUUUGAUUAAAAACCCUCAAAGGAAAAGAGAAAUUUUGAUCUUUGAGAAGAGCUGUUUCAUCACAGGGUGAAGUUGUUUCCUGAGCCCUUUGAUCUGAAAUGACCUUGCGACCUGGAACCAGCAGACAGCCUGAGGGAGGCAGUGCAUGUUCUGAGCCAGGGCCUCAGGAGGCCUGCAGCUGCCAUUCUGCUUCUGUUGGAACAUGACCUCCUUGAGAACACUCCCAGGCCUGACUGCAGGGUGGGGAGACCACACAGAGCAGAGCCGAGCCACCGGGAUGAGGCCCCUAGAUCACCCAGCUCCCAGCUGACCACAGAUCAUGAGUGAUCCCGUUUCUCCCUAGGUCAAGGGUGAUGUUUUGCUCAGAGAAAACUGAAGUUUGGAUUGUUCCAGUCCUGCAUCACAUCCUGUUUCAGGCUGCCCUAAAACAAAACCAGAAACAACCAUCACCACAAAACACCAUACCUUCAAUAGUCUUCUCAGUGUUCAGAAUAAAGGCUCUGGUUUUCC
Molecule: long non-coding RNA, 696 nt
Filed under: Homo sapiens (human)
Lineage: Eukaryota; Metazoa; Chordata; Mammalia; Primates; Hominidae
Description: non-protein coding lnc-RFX8-1:1
Source: RNAcentral